Molecule: non-coding RNA, 21 nt
Filed under: Arabidopsis thaliana (thale cress)
Lineage: Eukaryota; Viridiplantae; Streptophyta; Magnoliopsida; Brassicales; Brassicaceae
Source: RNAcentral
CUGUGGUCAGAUAGCUCCGUG